This 29-nucleotide non-coding RNA is filed under the name Mus musculus (house mouse). The record is from RNAcentral. Lineage: Eukaryota; Metazoa; Chordata; Mammalia; Rodentia; Muridae.
UGACGACCACAUGCUUACCUCAGCCAUGC